Long non-coding RNA from Planococcus citri (citrus mealybug), 1233 nucleotides. RefSeq lists it as uncharacterized. Lineage: Eukaryota; Metazoa; Arthropoda; Insecta; Hemiptera; Pseudococcidae. The record is from RefSeq and is a predicted model, not a curated record. The transcript has 2 exons.
UUACUUACGUUAUCGAUUCAUUUUUCUACAUUCGUUAGAGAACAAAUUCAUUCAAAUCGUGACAGGCGGCUGUUUUUCUUCACAUUGUUGAAACAAACGCGAACAUGAACACUUUUCACACCAUUUUCAAGAUAUUUUUAUUUUCUUACUGCAUGUUUUCGAUUCGAACCGAACACUCAAACUCCACCUCAAAUAUCGAUUACGAAAACGUGGUCCAUUGCAAGACACACAUACGUGUUCACAACGUUAAAUACAUUUGGACUAUUCAUAAUUUCACCGCUCACGAAAGACUUGGAUAUGAUAUUCUAGCACCCAAGUUACGUGCACUCACAACCGAUAAAGUUGAAUGGGAUCUUCGACUACAUAUUAGCUGGUAUUACGAUGUAGAAUAUAUUUCGUUGCAUUUAUUUCUAUCCCAAGAUAGUGUAGUUCCUUUGGUGGAAGCGGAAUGCAAUAUUUCAAUCAUCAAUAAUAAAGAUGAAGUAUUAUUUCAUAAGCACAUCGAGUCGAAACAGUACUCAAAAAAUCGGAUUAGCGAACAACGGCCAAUCUGCAAGAAAAACUAUUGUUUUAGAAAUCACUUACUACAAAACGACACGUUAACGAUGGUUAUCUAUCUGAAGUGGUAUUUUGAACCAUCUUAUCACGUUUUUCAUGAACGUAAGGCUCUCUCAACUAAUAGUCCUACACCUACAUCCGAGUCUAACACAACGAACAAAGGUAGUAGUAACCUUUUUCUGAAAUUAUGCAAAAACUUACAUCAAAAAAUAUUCUAAUAUUGAUUAGCUAACUAGCUAUUGAAUUUUUCAACUCUGAUAGGAUUGGGUGACGAACGAAAAAUAUAAAAAAAAAUUUCAUAACAUUUAAAAUUCUUUCCUCAGCUCAUUCUAAAUCUGUCCAACACUCCCUGGGCAGUCCUCUAGGCUCUAGUAACACUCCUGGCUGGCAGCCUGCUAAUCCCAUGUGUAACCCUUCCCUUCCACUAUUGGCUCGACUCACAAAAUAAAUUCUCAUCCUUUCAACAUCAAGUUGCAGUAUCUUAGAUUUAACCUAUGGUGUUAGUUGUGAAUCUAAAUUCAAGUGGUAACCCUUCCCACCGUUUGUAACGUUGUAGUCUAUAUUAUUAUGUACCUUAUUUAAAUGUUUUUAUUUGUUGUAAAAAAAAUCUCUCUUGCCUCAAAUCAGAGCGUGUAACUAUUUCAAUUCAUUAUUAAAACAUUCUCAAGUUCAUCA